This 497-nucleotide ribosomal RNA is filed under the name uncultured bacterium. Its description in RNAcentral is "partial 16S ribosomal RNA". It matches the Rfam family "Bacterial small subunit ribosomal RNA", at positions 28 to 507 of the family's 1533-position model. The record is from RNAcentral.
GAUGAACGCUGGCGGCGUGCCUAAUACAUGCAAGUCGAGCGAACAGACGAGGAGCUUGCUCCUCUGACGUUAGCGGCGGACGGGUGAGUAACACGUGGAUAACCUACCUAUAAGACUGGGAUAACUUCGGGAAACCGGAGCUAAUACCGGAUAAUAUAUUGAACCGCAUGGUUCAAUAGUGAAAGACGGUUUUGCUGUCACUUAUAGAUGGAUCCGCGCCGCAUUAGCUAGUUGGUAAGGUAACGGCUUACCAAGGCAACGAUGCGUAGCCGACCUGAGAGGGUGAACGGCAACACUGGAACUGAGACAAGGUCAAGGCUCCUAAGGGAGGCAGAAGUAGGGAAUCUUCAGAAAUGGGCGAAAGCCUGACGGAGCAACGCCGCGUGAGUGAUGAAGGUCUUCGGAUCGUAAAACUCUGUUAUUAGGGAAGAACAAAUGUGUAAGUAACUAUGCACGUCUUGACGGUACCUAAUCAGAAAGACACGGCUAACUACGUG